CAGGGAAGUGGUCCUGUCCCCGCAGCCCCGCGCCUUCUCUGACAUGCCCCUCUCGAAGCAGCGUGUGUUCCCCACUUUGAUUUCCAACGGCCCCUUUUGUUCUCUACACAAAGGCCCGCUGAGGUCGGGCCGACGCUGGCGGCGGCGGUGGCAAUGGCGCGCAGAACGGGCUGAGGCGGCCCGCCAUGGCCUUCUGCUCCCUCAGAUAACGCGUCAGCCCAGGGCAGCGCUGUCUUCCCUCCCUCCCUUCCUGCCUGCCUGCCUGCCUGCCCCACACAUGCAGCGCUUAGAUUAUAGCUGCUCUGGCACUGUGUGGGGGGGGGCGUCUGCCCGGGGCUUGCCGUCCUUACAGCGGCCAUGGCGCCGCACCGACCCGCAGAGGUUCUCGGCUGGAGAGCAGGGCAGCCGAGACCACCAGUCUAAUUAGUGCCUUCAACCUAUGCAAGGGCUGAAAUGAAAUUGUUAUUCCCCACCUGAGAAAUGAGAACGUCCUCUCCUGCCAUGCGGUUUCAUGCUGAUGCAGUAGAUUCUCUGUUCUCUGUGCAGAUGUUACUCUGAGUAGCGUGAGCAUUACUAGAUCACCCACAGAGCCUCGCUGCCGUAAAGGGCAGUGUCACCUUGGAUAGUUUUUAAAGUGCAGUUUCAUGUUAUGUUUUAUCUGAUCCAAAUCAACUUGCUGCUAGGAAAAAAGUGAGACAUCUUCCCCCACCCUAUUCCUGCUUAACAAUUCCACCAGCUGGCCUGCCCCUCUCUGAGACAGCUCACAGCUAGCAGGAAACUCACAGGGGUCAACAGUUUUCCACUGGUUUCAGUUCCUCCAUCAUCAUUUCACUCUGGUCAGACGAGCAUUGGCCAGCUCUGGUGAGCUGGGAGGUUCAGUACUGUGUCCUUCCUGUCAGAGUUAUCUGGCUUCAAAAGGUUGGUUUUCCACAUUGCCAGCCUCACAGCACCAUCAGCUCUGGUGGGUCCUCAUUUGUUCAAACAUCAUAGUCCUGUGGGUCAACUUGCUCUCAGCUACUUCUACAAAAGGCUUCACUAUUUUCCAGUUACGAUCUCGACAGUAUUUGUGUAAAGCCAUAGCCACAUUUGCUCAGGUCUAACUGCCUGGAACCUCUUAAGCAGCUUGACUGAUAAUUGGCAAGGAUGUGAUGUGACACAAUUUCUACUUUUAGCAGUCUGAUGUUACCAUCACUGCUACAAGCAGAGUAUGUCACUCCACAUCUGUAUUUGGUUUGGUGGGAGGAGGUGUUGUUGAGUUUUUGGGUUUUUGUUUGUUUCCUUUUUUUGUGUGUAGAAGCAAGCACAUAUUUUGUAAUGACUCAUUAAAAUAGAGGAGGCAAAGAAAAAUGUCCUCCAAUGCCAAAAAACACCACAGUAGCAAUCGAUUGAUCUAAGAUGACUGCUCUGAUAAAUACGCUACAGAGGAGGCAGAUCUUGCUUCAAAGAAAAACUGAGAGGAUACAUCAGCUUUCAAAGAAGCCAAGUGGGUGAUUGGCUGGGUGGACAGCACCUCUAAGUCCUCACUGGCUAAGGGAGAGCUCUCACAUCCCCUGCUGUGCCUGCUUUCCCCUGCUUUAAGUGAAAAGGGUGAUUUUAUGACCAUAAUCGUAGCUAAAUAAACAGCAGUGCUAUACACACCCAAUCCUUCAUCAUGAAAAGAUAAUUAUAGAUUUCUCUGAAAGGACUCUGGGUAUGUGUGCGCAAGAAUCACGUAAGCAAAAAUAAAAUAUGUAAUGAGGGACUUAACCCAGAUCUGCCUGUUGCCUAGCUCCAUUUUGUGUGUGAAGUAACGUGGAAAUUUGACUGCAUUACUAGUUCUAGACAGAUACUUUGUAACAAUGCCCAACCCAGAAAGUGAAAUCAAGUAACAAGAAGCCAGCCACUUAGAGACAAGCAUAUUUUUCCUGCAAGACUGCAGAAUUACUGUUGUUCCAUAAUUUCAUGAGCUACAUCCCCAAUUCCUUUAUAAAUGAUCUUUCUUCUUUUGCACAUAUUGUGUCAGAGAUGUCUCCACUGUGGUUAGAGUAACAAGUAACAAUUUCUUGCGAAUUUUUCCACAAAAAAAAUUACAAGUAUUUUCUAAGCAGAGAACUACUAGCUACCCACUACUAACUAAAAAAUGUCUAAAAAGAGUUCCUUUACAGUAUGACAAUAUAUUUGUGGCUCAGAGACAGAGGAGAGAAGUCUGGCAGCUCUGAAGAAAAUUUAAUUUACAGCACAAAAAGGUGGCAUCUGAAGGAAGAUCAAUUUGUGUGUGGGUCAGUAACUCCUGCUGUCACGUUAACAGCUUCAGCACCAUGGAUGUUAUUUUGCUGCCCUGGAUACUGUACCACGGCAGAGAGCUCCUGUGAUAAGCGAGAUCCAUCCCGACCCAGAAGCGAGGGGCCAGCUGCAGGGGAAAGGAGCUGCUCGUGCAGAGCUCACUGCAGGAGAGAAGCCAAAGACCUGGCUGGGAAGCGAUGAACUGCCCUGAUAAAUACAGCACAGCAGAGAGCCACCUCCGGCCAAACAGCAUCACCAGGAGGUGGAAAACUAUUACUCCUCCAUUCACCCUCCUCCUUCAUUAAGAUGGAAGGUCAAUCAGUGUGAAGUUAGCAAGAGCUGAGGCCUGACAAUCAGGUUUGGACUAUGAGACUGCAGCAUCUUGGCCAGCCACAGACACCAGUGGAGUUUUGAUCACUUCCAACCACAUUGCUGCUCAUUUCUGUGUGAAGACCAUGGUACUGGAAUCAGCACCAAGAGAGCAGUGACAUCAUGCUGAAGAAAUGAACUUUGGGGGAACUCCUGACAACCCAGAUAUUUUAAUAUUUUUGUUGACCUUCAAGUAAUUAAAAAAGGGGAAUUUCCCCCAGUAGCCUAUAA
This is a long non-coding RNA of Pipra filicauda (Wire-tailed manakin), 2862 nucleotides long. RefSeq lists it as uncharacterized. The record is from RefSeq and is a predicted model, not a curated record. The transcript is spliced from 3 exons. Lineage: Eukaryota; Metazoa; Chordata; Aves; Passeriformes; Pipridae.